RNAcentral lists this long non-coding RNA (315 nucleotides) under Nicotiana benthamiana. Its description in RNAcentral is "long non-coding RNA (NBEN_LNC037761)". The record is from RNAcentral. Lineage: Eukaryota; Viridiplantae; Streptophyta; Magnoliopsida; Solanales; Solanaceae.
UAAAGCUCUAAAAUUUCAGCUUGCUAUAUCUAUUAAGCUGAAGGUUUUUUCUCAAAGAUAUGUGUCUUUUUCAGAACAUAAAAGAUGAUGGCUAAGAGGGUGUUUGCUAAACUUAUAAACUGCUCAAACUAACUUAUAAGCAUUUUUUGGCUUAUCUACGUAUUUGGUAAAAUUAAAAAUGCUUAUAAGUCAAAAAUAAGCCAAAAGCCAUAAGUUGGUCUCCCUCAACUUAUCAAAUUUCAGCUUAUAAACACUUUAAGUUUGACCAAAAUAUUUACUAUUCUAUUCCUAAAAUACUUCUUUUUAAAACAAAAC